RNAcentral lists this small nucleolar RNA (107 nucleotides) under Gossypium hirsutum (cotton). RNAcentral describes it as "Plant small nucleolar RNA R71". It matches the Rfam family "Plant small nucleolar RNA R71". Rfam says of the family: R71 is a member of the C/D box family of snoRNAs containing the C (UGAUGA) and D (CUGA) box motifs. Multiple nearly identical copies of this snoRNA have been identified in Arabidopsis, and it is thought to function as a 2'-O-ribose methylation guide for 18S ribosomal RNA. RNAcentral also lists the same sequence under 1 other name. Lineage: Eukaryota; Viridiplantae; Streptophyta; Magnoliopsida; Malvales; Malvaceae. The record is from Rfam by way of RNAcentral.
AUGCCAUGAUAAGGGUACUUUCGUAAUAACUCCUUGAACUACUCCCAUGCCUUAGAUAAAAAUUCUUUGUCAAGUUGCUGAAACAAAGUAAUUUCAUUUCAGAUCUU